Molecule: long non-coding RNA, 311 nt
Filed under: Nicotiana benthamiana
Lineage: Eukaryota; Viridiplantae; Streptophyta; Magnoliopsida; Solanales; Solanaceae
Description: long non-coding RNA (NBEN_LNC036114)
Source: RNAcentral
UAAAAACAUUUCUCUCUUCUCUUCCAAACCCACCUAUCUUCUUCCUCGCAGAAUCAAGAGAAAAUGACUAACCCCCAAGAUAACCCUAGUACACCUCUUCCACCUACCCCCUCCGAUUCCUCCACUACUCUUCAACCCAACACAACCCUCAACCUAGGAGAAGGCGUGUAUUGCUUGCUCAGAAAACUGUCACUAUAGUUGUGCUUUCAAGAAAAUUAAAUGCAUAGUUACAGGCUAGUCAAGCCCAAGACUUCCAAAAUAAUGAUGAUUUCUUCAAGUCUACGAGUGAGGGGGAAGGAACUAGGUCUUCC